This 461-nucleotide ribosomal RNA is filed under the name uncultured bacterium. RNAcentral describes it as "bacterial SSU rRNA". It matches the Rfam family "Bacterial small subunit ribosomal RNA", at positions 917 to 1382 of the family's 1533-position model. The record is from RNAcentral.
GGACCCGCACAAGCGGUGGAUGAUGUGGAUUAAUUCGAUGCAACGCGAAAAACCUUACCUACCCUUGACAUGUCCGAGAGCUCGAAGAGAUUCGAGUGUGCUCGAAAGAGAAUCGGAACACAGGUGCUGCAUGGCUGUCGUCAGCUCGUGUCGUGAGAUGUUGGGUUAAGUCCCGCAACGAGCGCAACCCUUGUCAUUAGUUGCUACGAAAGGGCACUCUAAUGAGACUGCCGGUGACAAACCGGAGGAAGGUGGGGAUGACGUCAAGUCCUCAUGGCCCUUAUGGGUAGGGCUUCACACGUCAUACAAUGGUCGGGACAGAGGGUCGCCAACCCGCGAGGGGGAGCCAAUCCCAGAAACCCGAUCGUAGUCCGGAUCGCAGUCUGCAACUCGACUGCGUGAAGUCGGAAUCGCUAGUAAUCGCGGAUCAGCAUGUCGCGGUGAAUACGUUCCCGGGUCUU